This 152-nucleotide ribosomal RNA is filed under the name uncultured bacterium. Its description in RNAcentral is "partial 16S ribosomal RNA". It matches the Rfam family "Bacterial small subunit ribosomal RNA", at positions 8 to 139 of the family's 1533-position model. The record is from RNAcentral.
AGAGUUUGAUCAUGGCUCAGGAUGAACGCUGGCGGCGUGCUUAACACAUGCAAGUCGAGCGAAGCACUUGAGGUUGAUUUCUUCGGAAUGAAAUCUCAUUUGACUGAGCGGCGGACGGGUGAGUAACGCGUGGGUGACCUGCCCCAUACCGG